GAGGCUGUAGCUUACAGGGUGAAAGCGAUAGUUUGAAAAGCUUUAGAGGCGGGUUCGAUCCCCGCUGGCCUCAC
Molecule: transfer RNA, 74 nt
Filed under: compost metagenome
Description: tRNA-Phe
Rfam family: tRNA
About the family: Transfer RNA (tRNA) molecules are approximately 80 nucleotides in length.
Source: RNAcentral